ACACAUGCAAGUCGAGGGGCAGCGAGAUUGAAGCUUGCUUCAAUUGUCGGCGACCGGCGGACGGGUGCGUAACGCGUAUGCAACCUACCCAUAACAGGGGGAUAACACUGAGAAAUUGGUACUAAUACCCCAUAACAUCUCGAGUGGCAUCACUUGGGGUUGAAAGCUUCGGUGGUUAUGGAUGGGCAUGCGUUGUAUUAGCUAGUUGGAGAGGUAACGGCUCACCAAGGCGACGAUACAUAGGGGGACUGAGAGGUUAACCCCCCACAUUGGUACUGAGACACGGACCAAACUCCUACGGGAGGCAGCAGUGAGGAAUAUUGGUCAAUGGACGGAAGUCUGAACCAGCCAUGCCGCGUGCAGGAUGACGGCUCUAUGAGUUGUAAACUGCUUUUGUACGAGGGUAAACCCGAAUACGUGUAUUCGGCUGAAAGUAUCGUACGAAUAAGGAUCGGCUAACUCCGUGCCAGCAGCCGCGGUAAUACGGAGGAUCCAAGCGUUAUCCGGAUUUAUUGGGUUUAAAGGGAGCG
RNAcentral lists this ribosomal RNA (530 nucleotides) under uncultured bacterium. RNAcentral's name for it is "bacterial SSU rRNA". It matches the Rfam family "Bacterial small subunit ribosomal RNA", at positions 51 to 571 of the family's 1533-position model. The record is from RNAcentral.